This 6205-nucleotide long non-coding RNA is filed under the name Nicotiana tabacum (common tobacco). RNAcentral describes it as "long non-coding RNA (NTAB_LNC007730)". Lineage: Eukaryota; Viridiplantae; Streptophyta; Magnoliopsida; Solanales; Solanaceae. The record is from RNAcentral.
UCGAAACUAGCUAAAAGCAACUCAAAAUCAUCAAAUAAUGCCAUAGGAAGCAAACCCAAUCAAUAAAGGUCGAAUAUUUACAUAUUUACUCAAAGUCAACAAAAAAUUCAAACUGGGGACCACACCUCAGAACCCGACAAAACUCAUAAAAUUUGAUAACCUAUUUAAUUACGAGUCCAACCAUACUAAUUUCACUCAAUUCCGACUACGAAUCAAUGUUCAAAACUCAAAAAUUCACUUUAGAAAAAUUUAGACAAAACCCCCAAUUUCUCUUUUGAAAUCAUCAAUCAAUUGCUAAAAAUAAAGAUGGAAUCAUGAAAUAUAAUCAAAACCAAGUAGAGAAUACUUACCCCAAUCUAUGUGUUGGAAAUCACCUAAAUCCGAGCUCCCCAACUCAAAAUGUUAUGAAAUAACUCAGAGUUUGAAAAUAUAGUACUUUAUAAUAACUGGGCAGCAAUACACAUCGCGAUCGCAGGACAUCCUUUGCGAUCACGAAGAACAAAUGCUACUACCAUCAAAAUACUCUACGCGUUCGCGAUACUGGCCACGCGGACGCGAUGACCACAUGCGCUAAAUCUCUACGAACGCGAACUGACUUGCGCAAAUGCGAUGAAGAAUUCUCCAGCUCCUGCUCCCGCUCAACCCUACGCGUCCGCGAUACCCCAUGCACGAACGUGAACUGUAACCAAUCUAACCCUUCGCGAUCGCAUAACAUUUAUCGUGUCCGUGAUGAAAAAAUCCACCAGUAGACCAAAUUACUCUUCGCGAUCGCGACUGGACCUUCGCAAUCAUGAAGAACACUAGGGGCAUCAGAUAACAGCAGAAACCGUCAAUGCAUGAAAACUCCAAAAUGGUCCGAAAUCAACCCGAAACGCACCUGAGCCCCUCGUGACCCCGUCCAAACAUACCAACAAGUCCCAUAACAUAACAUAGACUUACUCAUGCCUAACAACAUCAAAACUACAAAAUCGCACCUUAAAUCGAACUUAAUAAACUUUUAACUUUCAACUUCUAAAUCUCGUGCCGCAUCAUACCAAAUCAACUCGGGUUGACCUCAAAUUUUUGCACACAAGUUCCAAAUGACAUAACGAAGCUAUUCCAACUCUCGGAACCAAAAUUUGAUCCCAAUAUCACUAAAGUCAACUUCCGGUCAAACUUAUGAAUAUUCCAAAACUCCAAAUUGCCAACUUUCGUCAAUUAACAUCAAAACCUUCAAGAAACAUCCAAAUGCAAAUUCGUGAAUACGCCCAAGUCCAAAAUCACCGUCCAGAUCUAAUAGAACUGUCAAAACUCCGAUCAGGGAUCAAAUAUAUAAAAGUCAAACUUAGUCAACUCUUCCAACUCAAAACUUUUAAACGGAAUGUAAAUGCUCAAAACGACCGGUCAGGUCGUUACAUUUAAAUAAAGAGAUAAGGUCUAAAUUUAAUCAUCAAUUAAUACCCUAUCUAGUAGGUGCACAAUAACUUGACAAAAUAAUUAUAACGUAAAUAUAAUUAUCUAUAAAGUUGUGAAAAAAUAUUUAAAAAAUUAUGAAAACAUGAUAUCAACACCAAAUAUCAUUAGCUAUAGAUUUUUUAUUGUAAAAGACCUCAAUAGAUUGAGAGAGGUUAAUAUGAUAGAAUAACUAUUGUGGCUUUUCAUAACUAUGCAAGUUCACUUAAAUGUCUCCUCCUCCCCUUAACACAAAAGAGAAUACAAAACGGUCAAAUAAGUUCAAAAAAUGUUAAAGGAGAAAAACUGAAGCUCAUGCAGUAAAGGGAUCGAGAAUAAAACAUACUAGUGUAUGAUUCUAGAGGGAUCGUAGAUGGAGAAGCUUUUAGAGCUACCUUCUUUUAAUAAAUAUCAACAACAACAACAACAACAACAAUAACAAUAACCCAGUAUAAUCCCACUAGUGGGGUCUGGGGAGGGUAUUGUGUACGCAGACCUUACCCCUACCUUGGGGUAGAGAGGCUGUUUUCGAUAGACCCUCGGCUCCCUCCCUCCAAGAACUACCCACCUUGCUCUUGGGGUGACUCGAACUCACAACCUCUUGGUUGAAAGUGGAGGGUGCUCACUACUAGAGCAACACACUCUUGUCAUAUCUUUUUAUAAAUAUCAAUUUGUUGAUUUUGAUGAUGCGCUUCAUAAAAUUUAUCUCGUUCCACACUGUAAUUUCCCAGCUUUCUAAUAUGGAUUUGCACAGUUACAGAAUAAAUCAUGGUUAUAUAACAUCAUAAUUUUAUAUAGUAAAAAAGACUACAAUGAAACUCAAUAAGUUUAGUCUGCUUCUAAUACUGUAUCAUGAGAUGAGAAUCUCUAACAAUUUCAUUUUAUGAUUAUCAAAAUCCAAAAUUUAUCUAUAAAAUAAAGAUUCCACUCAAAUAUUUGUAUCUCUAUAACACAAAAAGGCAAAACAAACACAAAAAUACAACAUGUAAAAGAUAACUUUCGUGAAUUAGGAUAUGAGGAGAUAUGCUUUAAUAUUGUUACGAAGUCCAUGUACGUACGGGAAUUAUAUUCUUAUAGUAUUAUGAGACUUAGACUCCAAGAAAUCUUUGUUUAUAUAUUUUGUUAUAUUUCAUGUUUGAAUUUAUGAAAGAGAGGAUUUUUUUAAAAUAGUAUCAGAGCAAGUUAUUGAAUAUUUUUUUUUGUCUCUUCUCUUCACAGUUCACAAUUUAAUAGCGAGACAAAAGGAGCUAUGGAUGACGACUUAAUUUUUGAACGUGCGUCAUCCAUAUUACUCUAUGGAUAUAGUGAUUCAGAUUGGGGAGGUAACGUUGAUGAUCGUAGGUCCACUGUUGGAUUUGCUAUUUUUUCUUGUUGGCUUGCACUUGAUUUCUUAGGCCUCUCUGAAGCGAAAAAUUAUCUCGCAGUCAAGCACUAAGGUAGAAUAUUGAGCACUAGUUAUUGCCAUGUCUGGAAUCACAUGUGGUACACCUCCCUUUUCCUGAAGGUAUAGGAUUUGUUUUCCAAUUUAAAGUGACAUGAUUCAAAAUGAGAUUAUUUAUUUAUUUAUUCAGAGUCACCACUUGGAAUAAUUUAUGGUGUCUCAAGUCACCGGAUUAUUUUAAAUCCCAAAUCGAGAAAAUUUGACUCUGUUUAAAGUCUGCAAAUACAUAAGACCGGGUAAGGAAUUCUGUUAACUCGGAAAAAUGUGUUAUGCAUUCCCGAGUUCCGUGGUUUUAGCACGGUCGCUUAACUAUUAAUAAUUGGUUAAUUACCUGAUUUAUUAUAUAUUUGGAACCUAUUGUGCAUUUUUAACUUCUAACCGCUUUUAAUAGAGUUUUAAUUGCUUUUAGGAUUUAUGAAAUUUAUUUGAAUAAGUCGCGAUAUCGCGCACUUAUUAUUUUUUUUACACAUUGUGAAUCGUGUCACGUGAAAUGUACCCGCGGUCUACAACAUGUUUAUUUUUAUUAUUGUUUGAAGUUGAGAUCGAGUCACGUGAAACGCACACUCGAAUUGGGGUUAUGUAUCAUGACUAUGCCACGGAAAAUGUACCCAUAGUCACGAUAAUUUAUUAAUCGCGCCAAAAGCAAGCUACGAAUUUGAAAUAUUUUUCCUCAUUUGAGAUUAUUGCAAAGCAUGAGAUUUAUGAAAGAUUAUUAUGGAGGAAAUAGAGUAAAUUAAUUAUAGAAAAAGGUAGGCUAGCUUAUGAAUUUUAUUAAUAUGCCUUGUAGAAUCUUGUCAUUUGGUCCAAGAGCUAAAAAAAGUAAAAAUAAAAUGUGGUUCAUUACUCUACUCUAAUCCCAAUUGACCAAAUGGUCCAAAUGCUAUUUAUGAUACCAAACCCCAAACCUUUAUCUUAAAAUCUAAAAUGUUUAUCACAUGUCCAUCAUCACCCCUAACAAAUGUUAACAAACAGAAAACAAUUUAACAGCUUAUGCAAAUUACGAACAGGAAAAGAAAGAAGAAAGAAAAAUUAAAUGAAAGAAAAAAUAAUAAAUUUAAAAAAAAACACUCAAACAAUCAGCACCUAUUUACAAGAAAAAUUCGCUCAAAAGGAAACUAUGAUUCCAAUUUAACAAACUUAAGACACUUUCGAAAGCUAAUCAUAAGAAGAACUAAAUAAUCAAGCUCAUAUAGCAGAAUAAAAGAAACUCAAUCCAUUUUCCACAUAUUACACAAAUAAAAAAUAUAUAUACUCAUAUGCUUAAGAAUAGAAUUAAAAAUUCAGUGAGAAAAACCAAUCUUAAUGGCUGAGAAGAAAACCAGAUCAAAGCAAAAAAGACCGACGAACCGAAGCUGUAAGCGAGAACCUCGAACGACUUCGAACUUUAAUUCUUACCUCGCUGAAUAAACGGCCUAUUAGUGUGUUUUGUGAGCUACGUUUUUGUAGGUUGUUUAGAGUAGAGAAGAGUGGUUUUCAAGCUGAAUUUAUGGGGAUCUCCAGCGAGUUUUGGGACUAUUUGCUAAAGGAUGGAACUUAGCUCAUGGGUUUUGGGUGAUUUUUGGCUGUAGAUCUCAAUUGCUGCGUUUUUCAGAAGAUAUUUCUGAUGAAGUGGUGUUGGAAGCAACAAUGAAUUCUUCUUCUUGUUGUUGCAUUAUCAUCUACCAUGUUUUCCAAUCGAAGGUCCUUGAGCUUAUCCAAGAUCCACCCGUUUUUCCCUCUUUAAAUUCCCUCACUCCCGAUCUGCCUUUUUCUCUUAUUUUUUAUUUUUUUGAUCUGUUGUGGAUCCCCUCUUGAAUCAUAGAAUGAGAGCCUUUUAAUGAUGUAGGUUAUUUUAGGGGGAAAAUCUGAUGGGGUUUUGGCUAUUGGGCUCAGAUUUGGCCCAAUUUGGGCCAUGACUUGGGCAUUUGAACAAAGCAAGACUUUAGGAGAACUAGUCCAAAUUAAAACUUUUUUUUUGUGAUUGUAAUUUUCUUUUAGGAUUUAUGAAAUUUAUUUGAAUAAGUUUCAAUGUCGCGCACUUAUUGUUUUUGUACACAUUAUGAAUCACGUCACGUGAAACACACCCGCGGUCUGCAACAUGUUUAUUUUUAUUAUUGUUUGAAGUUGAGAUCGAGUCACGUGAAACGCGCACUCGAAUUGGGGUUAUGUAUCAUGACUAUGGCACGGGAACCGUAUCCACAAUCACGAUGAUCGCGACUAAAGCAAGCUACAAAUUUGAACUAUUUUUCCUUUUUUGAGAUUAUUGCAAAGCAUGAGAGUUAUGGAAGAUUAUUAUGGAAGAAAUGGUGUAAAUUAAUUAUAAAAAAAGGUAGGCUAGCUUAUGAAUUUUAUUAUUAUGGGCCUUGUAGAAUCUUGUCAUUUGACCCAAGAACUAAAAAAAAUCUGGUUCAUUACUCUACUCUAAUCCUAGUUGACCGAAUGACCCAAAUGUUAUUUAUGAUAUCAAACCCCAAACUUUUAUCUUAAAAUCCAAAAUGUUCAUCAUAGAUCCAUCAUCACCCCUAACAAAUGUUAACAAACAGAAAACAACUUAAAACAACUUAUGCAAAUUACGAACAGGAAAAGAAAGAAUAAAGAAAAAUUAAAUGAAAGAAAAAUAAUAAAUUUAAAAAAAAACACUCAAAGAAUCAACACCUAUUUACAAGAAAAAAUCGCUCAAAAGGAAACUAUGAUUCCAAUUUAACAAACUUAAGACACUUUCGAAAGCUAAUCAUAAGGACUAAAUAAUCAAGCUCAUAUAGCAGAAUAAAAGAAACUCAAUUCAUUUUCCACAUGUUACACGAAUCAAAAACAUAUAAUCAUAUGCUUAAGAAUAGAAUUAAAAAUAUAGUGGGAAAAACCAACCUUAAUGGCUGAGAAGAAAACCGGAUCAAAACAAAAGAAGACUGACGAACCGGAGCUGUAAUCGAGAACCUCGAACGACUUCAAACUUUAAUUCUUACCUUGCUGAAUAAAUGACCUAUGAGUGCGUUUUGUGAGCUACGUUUUUGUAGGUUGUUUAGAGUAGAGAAGGGUGGUUUUCAAGCCGAAUUUAUGGGGAUCUCCAGCGAGUUUGGGGACUAUUUGCUAACGGAUGGAACUUAGCUCAUGGGUUUUGGGUAAUUUUUGGCUGUAGAUCUCAAUUGCUGCGUUUUUCAGAUGAUGUUUCUGAUGAAGUGGUGUUGGAAGCAACAAUGAAUUUUUCUUCUUCUUGUUGCAUUAUCAUUUGCCCUGUUUUCCAAUCGAAGGUCCUUGAGCUUAUCCAAGAUCCACCAGUUUUCCCCUCUUUAAAUUCCCUCACUCUCGAUUUGCCUUUUUCUCUCGUUUUUUAUUUUUUAAUCUGUUGCGGCUCCC